Molecule: ribosomal RNA, 496 nt
Filed under: uncultured bacterium
Lineage: Bacteria
Description: partial 16S ribosomal RNA
Rfam family: Bacterial small subunit ribosomal RNA
Source: RNAcentral
GAUGAACGCUGGCGGCGUGCCUAAUACAUGCAAGUCGAGCGAACAGACGAGGAGCUUGCUCCUCUGACGUUAGCGGCGGACGGGUGAGUAACACGUGGAUAACCUACCUAUAAGACUGGGAUAACUUCGGGAAACCGGAGCUAAUACCGGAUAAUAUAUUGAACCGCAUGGUUCAAUAGUGAAAGACGGUUUUGCUGUCACUUAUAGAUGGAUCCGCGCCGCAUUAGCUAGUUGGUAAGGUAACGGCUUACCAAGGCAACGAUGCGUAGCCGACCUGAGAGGGUGAUCGGCCACACUGGAACUGAGACACGGUCAAGACUCCUACGGGAGGCAGAAGUAGGGAAUCUUCCGCAAUGGGCGAAAGCCUGACGGAGCAACGCCGCGGGAGUGAUGAAGGUCUUCGGAUCGUAAAACUCUGUUAUUAGGGAAGAACAAAUGUGUAAGUAACUAUGAACGUCUGGACGGUACCUAAUCAGAAAGCCACGGCUAACUACGU